AUUGAACGCUGGCGGCAGGCUUAACACAUGCAAGUCGAGCGGUAACAGAGAGAAGCUUGCUUCUCUGCUGACGAGCGGCGGAGGGGUGAGUAAUGCCUAGGAAUCUGCCUAGUAGUGGGGGAUAACUUGCCGAAAGGUAAGCUAAUACCGCAUACGUCCUACGGGAGAAAGGAGGGGACCUUCGGGCCUUUCGCUAUUAGAUGAGCCUAGGUCGGAUUAGUUAGUUGGUGAGGUAAUGGCUCACCAAGACCGCGAUCCGUAACUGGUCUGAGAGGAUGAUCAGUCACACUGGAACUGAGACACGGUCCAGACUCCUACGGGAGGCAGCAGUGGGGAAUAUUGGACAAUGGGGGGAACCCUGAUCCAGCCAUGCCGCGUGUGUGAAGAAGGUCUUAGGAUUGUAAAGCACUUUAAGUUGGGAGGAAGAGCAGUUAACUAAUAUUUGACUGUUUUGACGUUACCGACAGAAUAAGCACCGGCUAACUUCGUG
Molecule: ribosomal RNA, 490 nt
Filed under: uncultured bacterium
Lineage: Bacteria
Description: partial 16S ribosomal RNA
Rfam family: Bacterial small subunit ribosomal RNA
Source: RNAcentral